UGGGGAAUUUUGCGCAAUGGGGGAAACCCUGACGCAGCAACGCCGCGUGCGGGAUGACGGCCUUCGGGUUGUAAACCGCUUUCAGUAGGGACGAAUUUGACGGUACCUACAGAAGAAGCCCCGGCUAACUACGUGCCAGCAGCCGCGGUAAUACGUAGGGGGCGAGCGUUAUCCGGAUUCAUUGGGCGUAAAGCGCGCGUAGGCGGCCAGUUAGGUCGGGAGUCAAAUUUCGGGGGCUCAACCCCGUCUCGCUCCCGAUACCGGCUGGCUUGAGUGUGGUAGGGGAAGGCGGAAUUCCCGGUGUAGCGGUGGAAUGCGCAGAUAUCGGGAAGAACACCGGUGGCGAAGGCGGCCUUCUGGGCCAUCACUGACGCUGAGGCGCGAAAGCUAGGGGAGCAAACAGGAUUAGAUACC
This 414-nucleotide ribosomal RNA is filed under the name uncultured bacterium. Its description in RNAcentral is "bacterial SSU rRNA". It matches the Rfam family "Bacterial small subunit ribosomal RNA", at positions 355 to 786 of the family's 1533-position model. The record is from RNAcentral.